CACUCCUGCGGGAGGCAGCAGUGGGGAAUUUUGGACAAUGGGCGAAAGCCUGAUCCAGCAAUGCCGCGUGUGUGAAGAAGGCCUUCGGGUUGUAAAGCACUUUUGUCCGGAAAGAAAUCCUUGGCUCUAAUACAGUCGGGGGAUGACGGUACCGGAAGAAUAAGCACCGGCUAACUACGUGCCAGCAGCCGCGGUAAUACGUAGGGUGCGAGCGUUAAUCGGAAUUACUGGGCGUAAAGCGUGCGCAGGCGGUUUGCUAAGACCGAUGUGAAAUCCCCGGGCUCAACCUGGGAACUGCAUUGGUGACUGGCAGGCUAGAGUAUGGCAGAGGGGGGUAGAAUUCCACGUGUAGCAGUGAAAUGCGUAGAGAUGUGGAGGAAUACCGAUGGCGAAGGCAGCCCCCUGGGCCAAUACUGACGCUCAUGCACGAAAGCGUGGGGAGCAAACAGGAUUAGAAACCCGGGUAGUCCCA
RNAcentral lists this ribosomal RNA (472 nucleotides) under uncultured organism. Its description in RNAcentral is "partial 16S ribosomal RNA". It matches the Rfam family "Bacterial small subunit ribosomal RNA", at positions 334 to 797 of the family's 1533-position model. The record is from RNAcentral.